RNAcentral lists this ribosomal RNA (1415 nucleotides) under Aspidogaster conchicola. RNAcentral's name for it is "eukaryotic LSU rRNA". It matches the Rfam family "Eukaryotic large subunit ribosomal RNA", at positions 63 to 977 of the family's 3401-position model. The record is from RNAcentral. Lineage: Eukaryota; Metazoa; Platyhelminthes; Trematoda; Aspidogastridae.
AACUAACCGGAUUCCCUUAGUAACGGCGAGUGAACAGGGAAGAGCCCAGCACCGAAGCCUGCGGUUGUGUAACUGUUAGGCAAUGUGGUGUUUAGGUCUAAUUGCGGAGGUAUCGUUUCACUCAAAGUCCAGCAAUGAGUAUGGUAAAAUGGACUUGGCCCAGAGAGGGUGAAAGGCCCGUACGAGUGAAGAUCAUGUUGGUUGAUACCUUCAUCAAUGGACCUUGGAGUCGGGUUGUUUGUGAAUGCAGCCCAAAGUGGGUGGUAAACUCCAUCCAAGGCUAAAUACUUACACGAGUCCGAUAGCGAACAAGUACCGUGAGGGAAAGUUGAAAAGUACUUUGAAGAGAGAGUAAACAGUACGUGAAACCGCUCAGAGGUAAACGGGUGGCGUUGAACUGCAAGCCCUGGGAAUUCAACCAGUGAGCAUGACUUGUGCUUGGACAUGACCGAUUGUUGAGUAGAGUCCGCCAGAUUGGUAGGUCUAGCAGCCUAUGCUGUUAGACAGACGUGGUCCGCUUAUCAAGCGCUGUCUGCUCUGCUCCAUGUGAAGACGAAUCGGCUUGCUGGUGCACUUUCUCAGGGUUAACACCACGACCGACGCUGUUGUCCGUCUGCUAUGGUCAAACCGUGUGGUCAGGAUCCUUGUGGUUUUGUCUAUACGGGAUGGCAGGUAGCUUGGUGACUGGUGCUGGUUACUUGUUGAUCAGUGCCACAAUAAGUUGCUGAGUGUUACAAGCUGGCCAUAGUGGUUGUGUUUACGGUGCAGUGUGUCGGAGCUUACGGCUUAAGGCCUGUGCACGUGUGUCCUGGUCGUAUGGAUGUGUUCCAAGUCUGGUCGCUUGUCUGCUUGCAUCAUACAAGCCUGGUGAUGUCUUGGCAACAUGCUCAUGCGCGACUGCAUGUGUGAGGCUAUGCAAUGGGCCUAUAGUCUGUGGUGUUGUGGUAGACUGCCUCCUGACCCGUCUUGAAACACGGACCAAGGAGUUUAACAUGUGCGCGAGUCAUUGGGCGUUACGAAACCCAAAGGCGGAGUGAAAGUGAAGGUCAGACCUCGCAUGCAUGCGUGCAUGUGUGUAUGCAUGUGCGCGUGUGCCCGCGUGUGUCUUGGCUGAGGUGAGAUCUUGUUGUUUCUCGUGCACGCACUACCAAGCGUUUGAGCAAUAGGCGCAUCACCUGCCCGUCCCAUGGUGUGGCCACACUGCCUCGGUGGUGUGCGUCAUCGGGGCGGAGCUAGAGCGUACAUGUUGAGACCCGAAAGAUGGUGAACUAUGCUUGCGCAGGUUGAAGCCAGAGGAAACUCUGGUGGAGGACCGCAGCGAUUCUGACGUGCAAAUCGAUCGUCUGACGUGAGUAUAGGGGCGAAAGACUAAUCGAACCAUCUAGUAGCUGGUUCCCUCCGAAGUUUCCCUCAGG